UUUUUUUUUUUUUUUUUUUUUUUUUUUUUUUUGAUAUGAUACACACACACACACACACACACACACAGACACAGGCAGAGGGAGAAGCAGGCUCCAUGCACCGGGAGCCCAAUGUGGGAUUCGAUCCCGGGUCUCCAGGAUCGUGCCCUGGGCCAAAGGCAGGCGCCAAACCGCUGCGCCACCCAGGGAUCCUGAGUCCUGGUACUUUUUUAAAAGAUUUUUUUAUUUAUCCAUUUGACAGAGAAAGGGAGAGAGAGAGAGAGCACAAGCAGGUGGAGUGGCAGAAAGAGGGAGAGGGAGAAGCAGGCUCCACACUGAGCAGGGAGCCUGAUGUGGAACUUGAACCCAGGACCCCAGGAUCAUGACCUGAGCCAAAGGCAGACAUUUAACCAACUGAGCCCCCCAGGCACUCCUGUUUAUGGACUCUAAUCUUAUCAGAUAUUUUGAUGUCACUGGUUUAGUUAUACUGUUCAUCUACUGGUAUGGGCCCUGAUCCUCACAAUCACUGCUUCAGGACAGCGUAGCAACAUAUGGAAACGUACUUUACAUAGUUAAGGAAUUUAGCACUAAGGAAAGGAUAUGUACACUGUUAUGAUAACACCAUACUAUUAUGUCUGCAAGGGAGGGCAUAAAGAAACAUUUUUGGUUAGGCUUAUUGAGAUAUACUUCAUAUCCUUUACCCUUUUGGUAUUUUUUAUUUUUUAAAAGAUUUAUUUAUUUAUUUAUGAUAGAGAGAGAGGGACUGAGACACCGGCAGAGGGAGAAGCAGGCUCCAUGCCGGGAGCCUGACACGGGACUCGAUCCUGGGACUCCAGGAUCGUGCCCUGGGCCAAAGGCAGGCGCAAAACCACCGAGCCACCCAGGGAUCCCCGCUUUACCUUUUUAAAGUAGACAGUUUGGUGAACUUUGACAAAUGAAUACAGUUGUGUAUCCAAGGUAAAGAAAAUUUCCAUCACCCUCAGCAUAGGGAGAAAUUUAAAUGGUUUGUGGGAUGUUGGAGGUUUUUCUUUAUUUUCUUCCUUGAUAAGAUUUGUGUAAUACAUAUAAUUCAGCAGAAGAAAAAGCAGAAACCAAACUUACCUUCAGAGCUUCCAGACUCUGCAAAAUGCAAAGAUCCCUCACCUAGAAUCAGUAUUAAGCAGUCAAAAUGCAGGAAAAUGACAAUGACUGUGGUUUCUUUGUCAUUAUUUCCCUCACGUACACUAUAUAUAUAUAUAUUUCUAAAAGUCCUAUUUAUUUCCCACAAGCACUAUUCAACAGGGCCCCAGGGCUUCUGGGAGGAUUAGAGAAAGAAGAGUGGGAAUGAGAGGCUCUGAAACUAGCCAGACUUCAGAAAAGUAGAGCUUCUAAAUAUAGUUUAAGGUGAGAAGCAAGCAAAAAGUGUAGGGAAAAAUAAAUACCAGCUCUGGCUUGAAAAAUGAUUUUUGAUUCUUCACAGCCAAUAGAUCUAUGGGUUUCUGAUGAUAAUUGUUAUUUUCUCAUUUAUUUCUUCCUUUUUCAUUAACAGGCAUGUAGAGUUGCACAUUGUUGCACAAAUGUGCAAUACAACCUCCACAGCACUUCCUGGGUGCUAAAAGAUGAAUAAUGUGCCAUUCUUUCUAAUGUAGGGACCAGUGUCACCAGGUUGUCUGGCAUUUAGUAGGCACUUGGGUGUCUUUUGACAAGAGCCAUAUGUAGCUCACAGAAAGGGCAGUUGUAUAAAAAUAAACUCAUAUGUCACUUAAAUUCCAACGUAGAGUUCUUCCAAGAGUUUUAUUUUCUCUAAAGUGCAAUGACAAUGUCUAAACAUACCUAUUCCCCCCUCCCUCCCAAACUUAUUAGUUUCACAUGAGCAGGAGUACUGCCCACCUCCUUCAGGAAAGGGAUAUGGGUAUCACAAUACCUGAAUUGUUUAGUUUUGCGACUUUUGCCUUUAUCAGUGAGUUGGCUAGGUUAAGACCCUUUAAAAAUAACAAACUUACUUUAAUGAACGUAAAUACACUCAAUUAUCAGGAUUCCUACGAGUAGCCUGGCAGUAAGGGCAAGAAUGCAGCGGGAGAUCUGGAGCCUGGAAGACCCAAGCGGGAACAACAGGCUGUCUCUGCUUUCUUCACUUCUGACCACUAAUCUCCUCUUUGCAGUGCUGCUGUCUCUGCCCCUAGGCACACAACAGAAGUUGCCCUAGGUUUCAUGUUUACAACUCCAUUCCAGGGAGCAGUCCAAUCUCCCAGGCUGUGGUGCAUUUCUGGGAGAGAAUCUAAUCUACCCACUUUAGGUGAGGUGUUCACUUGUCUACUCCUUGCUGGCAGAGGGGUUAGGUCACAUAGUGAAUGAGGCUGCUCUGGUCCCACUCUGGUAAGGGGGAGUUAACUGGGCUGAUCAGACACCUGAAAAGUAUCUUGCGGACUUUUGAGAUCACAACCUUUUCUCUUGUUUCUAUUGUUCCAGGUCUCCUGGCACUAAGAUAACUGAGGAGAAGCUUCAGGGUAUUUUUUCCCCAAUGCCUGGAAUUUAGCUUUGACAUCCUUCUAUGGGAGGUGUUGAUCAUCCUCCAUUAAUGUUUCUUGGUUCACAGUAAGCUCUCAGUGUGUGCAUUCAGAUCUUUUGUUGACGACUUGUGACUGGCUAGUGUUGGGGUGGAGGAGCUAGUGGGUUAUGGGAAGUGAGGUAAUGGUUCCCUCUGAUUUCCACAUACUCUGUAUUUGGGAUAAACAGGCACUUCUGGUCAUGAGUUGAGUGAGAGUGAAUCUCUGUGCCUCUUGGGCCUUUUCCUUUGGGGUCUGUGUAUGUAGUCCACUCAGCAGCUGCAAGGCCAGCUCCCUGGUUAGAGCUCUCCAUCUGGUUCAUUUCUUGUUAUAGUUAUUGAUUUUCCUUGUCUUUCCACAGCCACUCCAACAUGGAAGUUGGCUGGUGGUAAAAAACAAGGUGGCUGCAUGAUUUCUCCUUUAAUCUAGCUACCACUGCCAUGCCUCCUGAACGAAUAGGCCUCCAGCAGGUACUCCCUCCAUCUCCGUAAACUGUUCCUACCCCAUCCCUCAUUCCCUGAAGCUGAGAUUUCUAAGUAGCACCUUCAGAGAGCUCUCAUUCUGUACACUGCCUGUAUCCUUUAUGGUAACAGAGAUCAGGCAUGUUGUUACCUGAGUAACAGGUAAGUCCAGUGUAAAUUGUAAUGUGCUCGGUUGUCCUCAGUGUUUACAGUGUGAAGUUGGGCUAAUUCUCUAGUUUCUGGCCUUCUCUCCAGGUUAGCACUCAGUAUGUCAAGUCUGGCCCUACUAAGACCUCAGUUAAGGGAACAGUGAUAGAGCACAGACUCCAAAUUGUUCAUCUUCACCAGUCCCACCCCUGCGUUGGGUUCCAGGAACAGCGCGGGCUUAGGAGAUGCACACAGCUGUUUGCCUGUAUGACGCGCCCUGCAGGCCAACAAGUCUGGCUUUUCCAUCACAGCUGCACGUGGAACCCCCAAACAUCUGCGUAGUUCCUGGCCCUGCUGCAGCCCCAUCUGUGGCCAGCUGCUGAAGUGUGCGCAGGCAGGCAGGCAGGCAGGCAGGCUUGCAACAAGACCGCUGCUAGACUUCUGCAGCACUGACACCUGCAGUGAGGGCGCGGCUUUGCAAGCGGGCGCAGGAGUGUCCGGGACCAGCGCACCACCGAGAGAGAGGGAAGCCCCCCGGCUUCCUAGAAGGGGAGGCGGGCUCGGGGGCUCCGGCUCGCCGCGGGGUGGCCGAGCCCCUGCGCUCCGCAGGAGGGGCGCUCGGUUGCGGCCCGCUGGUGCCCGUGAGCCGUCUUCGGCCUCUCGAGGGUCUGGCCAGCCUUGACCUGGAAGCGCCUGGCCCAGGGGCCAGUGAUCUGCGCCCCGGGCCGUGGAGCGCGCUCCCUGGUCCUCCAGCGCACCUGCCUCGUGCCAGCGCCCCGUCGCGGCUGGAGGUGGCGGCUGGUGUCCUGGCUCCCCGGGGGUCCGAGCGGGUCUGCGCCCGCCGCCACCCAGGGGCGCACUGGAGCAGCUUCGUCCUGCUUGGACUCGCGGCCACGCCGCCACCUGCAGCUCGUCCCGCAGCCCUUCUGGGUCCAGGCGUCCUCCGCCCUCUUUCUCUCCAGAGGCGGCCUCUCCUCGCCAGGGUGUCCAAGGUGAACAAAGCCGGACAGGUUUUAAUCAGUAAUAACUGUUGCAGGAGGAGAGAGUCCAGGGUGAACUGAACGCAGCUUUGACUGGUACAGAAGUGGCUGGACUUUUUAAAAGGAGAAUGGACCGUGUGUGUGUGUGUGUGUGUGUGUGUGUGAGUGAGAGAGAGAGAGAGAGAGAGAGAGAGAGAGAGAGAGAGAGAGAGAGAGAGAGAGGAGGCCCCGGGGAGUCAGGGAGAAGUCAUGUGAGACCCAUAUGGUUUGCUAGCGGGUCUCAGGGAAGUUUGGCUCCUACCCUCCAGAGACUGGGAGACAGGGGCCCUGUCUUCAGGUGUUGGGUGGAACGAACACUAAAUUCUUUUGGCAGCCCUGAAUUUUCUCAGAUAGACACUCUGAGUGUUUGUUGGUCUUUACACGCCAAGGUUAAGGCUGAGUAGAGAAAGGGCCCAGGAGAGACCGGCUCGAGUUUGGCCAAGGACAGAAUCUUUGUCAAUGGUCAGGGUCACUGAACAUGCUCAGCAAAAACAAUUUUCUUCUCCAACCCAGUCACUGAAGCCAGGAUUCUCCAGCUGAGACUCAGUUCUGGACAAUGGAGUGUAGUGGUUUAUUUUGAGAAGCUUUGUGCCUUGCCACCAAGAAUGUGGAAAAAUACACUGAAGGAGUAACUACAACUGUGGGUGAGGGUAGGGGCCCAGCUGCCCUGGAGUGGUAGGAUAGUCAUUGUUUUGAGUCUAGGAGUCUGGGGAUGGUGAGUAAUGAAUGUGCUUACGGGCUGCAAGAGAGGGGAAAUCUCACUUGGAGGUCUUCUGCUGUCUUACUCUCAGGCUCUUCCUUUUCCAAAAUUAGGGAGCCAUGCGGGAAGCUGGGACUCAGUACCUAUGCUCCAGAAAGUGUGGUCUUAGGUAAUCUUGAUAACCUUUCUUAGAUUAGCUCUCAGAUCAGCACAGGACUCAGGCGUGACAUGGCUCCCCCUUGCUACACAGUUAUGGAAAGUGUAUAUGUGUGUCUAUGCACAUGAUGGUGUGUUUGGGAAAAGUGGUUUGAGGUGACAUGAGAUUAUCCAGGGAAAUAUCUUUGGAGAGAGGACAUGCUAUUCAGAAGAUCCAUUUAAAUGUGUGAAGUUGGAACCACCUGCCAGUAAAACUUUCUGGGAACUAUAAAUCCAUAUCACUUUCAACAAAUGAAGUCUAUCAACAGGCAGGAAAAGCCUUUUAGGGGAAUAUGUUUGCUCUGUAAAUUGUGUAUGCAGAAGAGCAUAAGAUUAGGGCUUUUCUGUUCAUUCAGUAGGUAUGUACUGAGCACCCUAUGUGCCAUGCCAUGAAAUAGGCUUUGGAAGUAUCAGGGAAACAUCACUAAUUGUUACAUAAUGUAUUGACCUCUUACUUUUAUAGAUUCAUUCAUUUAACAAGUUUUAUGAAGUUCCUACUUUGUGCCAAUGCUCAUCAAAACUGCCUUCAUAAAAGAGCUGAAUAAAUGACAAGAGCACAUGUUCCUGAAUGAGAAACAUUAGUUUUAUGAAACUGUUGCUUCACAAAUUAAUCUAUAAAUCAAGGCAAUCCCAAUGGAAAUAAUUUUUGUUCCAAAGUCCUAAAGAAUCUGAAUUCAGAAAUUUAUAUGAAAGAAUAGAUCAAAAGAUUAGCUAAGGAUAUUUUGAGAAAAUAAAAAAGCGAAUUUGCUCGACUCAGAUAGCAAUAUUUUCUUGAGAUCUUGGUUCUCUACUGCUAACCCUACUUUAGUACAUACUCAGGGCCUCCUAAGUUUCUAAAGUUUCUUCCUGAGUAAGACAGUUGUGCUCCUUCUUUAGAAGGCUCCUCUUUCCCCAACCCACCCACCUCGUCUUCCUGGGUGUUCCACUUCCCUUUCCACUUGCUAAAAGCAGAGGAUGAGCUGAAAGGAGUUCCAGAAUCUACUUUGAUUCCCAGUACUCUUCUGUUCUAAUAGCUCUGGUGGAGCAAGGGAAGGUACCAUGGGCCCAGAUGCCUGCACACAGGUUGGCUGAAAGGUCAUGAGAGAGGUCAGUACAGGUAAGUAGGAGAAUCUAUGAACUUCCUUUCCAAUUCACCUCUCCCUUUGUUUUAAUAAUUUAUCACACAUGGGACACCUGGGUGGCUCAGUGGUUGAACAUCUGCCUUCAGUUCAGAGCAUGAACUUGGAGACCCAGGAUUGACUCCCUCAGUGGGCUCCUUGCAGGGAACCUGCAUCUCCCUCCUCUGCCUCUCUCUCUGUGUCUCUCAUGAAUAAAUAAAAUAUUUU
RNAcentral lists this long non-coding RNA (6351 nucleotides) under Canis lupus familiaris (dog). RNAcentral describes it as "lncRNA (ENSCAFG00845017221.1)". Lineage: Eukaryota; Metazoa; Chordata; Mammalia; Carnivora; Canidae. The record is from RNAcentral.